Molecule: transfer RNA, 91 nt
Filed under: Nitrospina sp.
Lineage: Bacteria; Pseudomonadati; Nitrospinota; Nitrospinia; Nitrospinales; Nitrospinaceae
Description: tRNA-Ser
Rfam family: tRNA
About the family: Transfer RNA (tRNA) molecules are approximately 80 nucleotides in length. Their secondary structure includes four short double-helical elements and three loops (D, anti-codon, and T loops). Further hydrogen bonds mediate the characteristic L-shaped molecular structure. tRNAs have two regions of fundamental functional importance: the anti-codon, which is responsible for specific mRNA codon recognition, and the 3' end, to which the tRNAs corresponding amino acid is attached (by aminoacyl-tRNA synthetases). tRNAs cope with the degeneracy of the genetic code in two manners: having more than one tRNA (with a specific anti-codon) for a particular amino acid; and 'wobble' base-pairing, i.e. permitting non-standard base-pairing at the 3rd anti-codon position.
Source: RNAcentral
GGAGAGGUGGCCGAGCGGUUGAAGGCGCACGCUUGGAAAGCGUGUGUAGGUCAAAAGCCUACCGAGGGUUCGAAUCCCUCCCUCUCCGCCA